AAUCCUGCAGAAAGGUACAUCCA
Molecule: small nuclear RNA, 23 nt
Filed under: Arabidopsis thaliana (thale cress)
Lineage: Eukaryota; Viridiplantae; Streptophyta; Magnoliopsida; Brassicales; Brassicaceae
Description: snRNA_00590
Source: RNAcentral